Molecule: long non-coding RNA, 606 nt
Organism: Camelus dromedarius (Arabian camel)
Lineage: Eukaryota; Metazoa; Chordata; Mammalia; Artiodactyla; Camelidae
Exons: 4
Source: RefSeq, a predicted model, not a curated record
GGCGGGGCCUCAUCGCACCUAGCCUGCCUCCGACCUGGGAGCUCGGUGCUGCAUCUUUCUUUACGAGAGUUAUUUAUUCAGCUAUUUUCAGCAACUCAUUUAAGAAGCGAUCCUGUUAAAUGUUUUCUGUUGCACACGUAAAGCUCGGUUAACUCUAGAUCCUUCCUACUUACAGUAUGGAGAGUUUAAAUGAGGACCUUCUGAGAAGCUUCAUGAGAUGAGUCUCAGAACUGUCCACUGAAAGCCAGAGUGGAAGAAGCAUUUAUCUGUCAGCUCCAAUCCACCUUUAAUCAAAGGGUAAUGCCCCUGGCCAUUAACUACUCUACACUUUGGAAAUGCACAGUUGUGAAUGCCAAGCUGACUCCUACAUCAGAGAAGUCCUGAGGCAAUCCCUCCAGCACCAUUAGAUCGGUGGGAACAAACGGUCUGAGCAUCAGGCAGCUCUCAUCACAACACUUCUGGGCAACAGAUCCAACUGAUAGGUACUUCAGCCUCACAAAUACUGAUGAAGGAACAUGGUGUACAUGUUCAGAGCGGCAGGGGACACAGGGACAAGCACACUAGAUUGAAAGCAUAAAAGCAUAUUCUCAUAAGGACCAAGCAAUC